ACAUGCAGUCGAGCGGACCUUUUAAAGCUUGCUUUGAAAGGUUAGCGGCGGACGGGUGAGUAACACGUGGGCAACCUGCCCUAUAGUUUGGGAUAACUCCGGGAAACCGGGGCUAAUACCGAAUAACACAAUCUAUCUCCUGUUAGAUUGUUGAAAGAUGGUUUCGGCUAUCGCUAUAGGAUGGGCCCGCGGCGCAUUAGCUAGUUGGUAGGGUAACGGCCUACCAAGGCGACGAUGCGUAGCCGACCUGAGAGGGUGAUCGGCCACACUGGGACUGAGACACGGCCCAGACUCCUACGGGAGGCAGCAGUAGGGAAUCUUCCACAAUGGACGAAAGUCUGAUGGAGCAACGCCGCGUGAGUGAAGAAGGUUUUCGGAUCGUAAAACUCUGUUGUAAGGGAAGAACAAGUACAGUAGUAACUGGCUGUACCUUGACGGUACCUUAUUAGAAAGCCACGGCUAACUACGUGCCAGCAGCCGCGGUAAUACGUAGGUGGCAAGCGUUGUCCGGAAUUAUUGGGCGUAAAGCGCGCGCAGGCGGUCCUUUAAGUCUGAUGUGAAAGCCCUCGGCUCAACCGAGGAGGGUCAUUGGAAACUGGAGGACUUGAGUGCAGAAGAGGAAAGUGGAAUUCCAAGUGUAGCGGUGAAAUGCGUAGAGAUUUGGAGGAACACCAGUGGCGAAGGCGACUUUCUGGUCUGUAACUGACGCUGAGGCGCGAAAGCGUGGGGAGCAAACAGGAUUAGAUACCCUGGUAGUCCACGCCGUAAACGAUGAGUGCUAAGUGUUAAGGGGGUUUCCGCCCCUUAGUGCUGCAGCUAACGCAUUAAGCACUCCGCCUGGGGGAGUACGGUCGCAAGACUGAAACUCAAAGGAAUUGACGGGGGCCCGCACAAGCGGUGGAGCAUGGUGGUUUAAUUCGAAGCAACGCGAAGAACCUUACCAGGUCUUGACAUCCCGCUGACCGCUAUGGAACAUAGUUUUCCCUUCGGGGACAGCGGUGACAGGUGGGGGCAUGGGUUGUCGUCAGCUCGUGUCGUGAAGGUUGGGGUUAAGUCCCGCAACGAGCGCAACCCUUGUUCUUAGUUGCCAUCAUUUAGUUGGGCACUCUAAGGAGACUGCCGGGCAACCGGAGGAAAGGGGGGGAUGACGUCAAAUCAUCAUGCCCCUUAUGACCUGGCUACCACCGUGUACAAUGGACGG
Molecule: ribosomal RNA, 1201 nt
Filed under: Bacillus sp. (in: firmicutes)
Lineage: Bacteria; Bacillati; Bacillota; Bacilli; Caryophanales; Bacillaceae
Description: bacterial SSU rRNA
Rfam family: Bacterial small subunit ribosomal RNA
Source: RNAcentral